This 1020-nucleotide ribosomal RNA is filed under the name Citrobacter koseri. RNAcentral describes it as "partial 23S ribosomal RNA". It matches the Rfam family "Bacterial large subunit ribosomal RNA", at positions 1781 to 2798 of the family's 2925-position model. The record is from RNAcentral. Lineage: Bacteria; Pseudomonadati; Pseudomonadota; Gammaproteobacteria; Enterobacterales; Enterobacteriaceae.
AGAUACCAGCUGGCUGCAACUGUUUAUUAAAAACACAGCACUGUGCAAACACGAAAGUGGACGUAUACGGUGUGACGCCUGCCCGGUGCCGGAAGGUUAAUUGAUGGGGUUAUCCCUCGGGAGAAGCUCUUGAUCGAAGCCCCGGUAAACGGCGGCCGUAACUAUAACGGUCCUAAGGUAGCGAAAUUCCUUGUCGGGUAAGUUCCGACCUGCACGAAUGGCGUAAUGAUGGCCAGGCUGUCUCCACCCGAGACUCAGUGAAAUUGAACUCGCUGUGAAGAUGCAGUGUACCCGCGGCAAGACGGAAAGACCCCGUGAACCUUUACUAUAGCUUGACACUGAACACUGGUCCUUGAUGUGUAGGAUAGGUGGGAGGCUUUGAAGUGCGGACGCCAGUCUGCAUGGAGCCGCCCUUGAAAUACCACCCUUUAAUGGCUGGUGUUCUAACGUGGGCCCGUAAUCCGGGUUGCGGACAGUGUCUGGUGGGUAGUUUGACUGGGGCGGUCUCCUCCUAAAGAGUAACGGAGGAGCACGAAGGUCAGCUAAUCCUGGUCGGACAUCAGGAGGUUAGUGCAAUGGCAUAAGCUGGCUUGACUGCGAGCGUGACGGCGCGAGCAGGUGCGAAAGCAGGUCAUAGUGAUCCGGUGGUUCUGAAUGGAAGGGCCAUCGCUCAACGGAUAAAAGGUACUCCGGGGAUAACAGGCUGAUACCGCCCAAGAGUUCAUAUCGACGGCGGUGUUUGGCACCUCGAUGUCGGCUCAUCACAUCCUGGGGCUGAAGUAGGUCCCAAGGGUAUGGCUGUUCGCCAUUUAAAGUGGUACGCGAGCUGGGUUUAGAACGUCGUGAGACAGUUCGGUCCCUAUCUGCCGUGGGCGCUGGAGAACUGAGGGGGGCUGCUCCUAGUACGAGAGGACCGGAGUGGACGCAUCACUGGUGUUCGGGUUGUCAUGCCAAUGGCACUGCCCGGUAGCUAAAUGCGGAAGAGAUAAGUGCUGAAAGCAUCUAAGCACGAAACUUGCC